AUGCCUCCAGGGCGGCGGCAGCAAAAAGGGUGUGCUUCUUGGGUGCUGACAUCCCUGCACGGCUGGGUACACCUGAGUGAGAUGCUCAGUCGCUCCCUAAAGCUACUUCAGCGGAUAACUGACUCGGAGAUAAGCCAGAGCGGUGUCUUGAGAGGCGGCCCACCAGGACUUGCCCUCCUUUACCAGGGAAAUCAGGUGAGAAACGUGAAGCGGUUGGCUAUACCAGGCACAAAUAGGACCCACUGGACCCCAGAGCCUGCAUGUGAAGCCAGGGCUUGGGCCACCUUGCUCCUAAAAGGGGUGCCUACUUCCACGGGGUCUGCAAAGGGACUGUGGAAAGAGAGGCCUUUGGCCCACGCCUCUGAAUGUGUUCCACCACAGCGUGCCCUGCGGCCUCUGUCUUGCUGCUGAGGGGCAGUCAGAACCGCAGGGCUGCAGAGCCUCUGUGCUGGUCAGUGUCCCAGCCUGAGCGCCAGAGUUCAGCGGGCAGGCCCCGGAGCAGGUAGAGAGGACGGCACCUUUCGGACAGAAUGUGUGGAACAAGAGCGACGGCUCAGCCCUUCAGGCUCCUCACGAAAUGAGAAGUCAGGAAGAUCAGGGUGCAGACCUGAUUUCCCACCCAGGGCUGAAGGCAGACAACUGGAGAGUGAGCAGCACCUGGGCCAGUGAGGUGGAAGACAGAAGCCCGCAGUGUACUCCUGCCCUCAGCCUUACCCCCUCCCUCCCACAUCGGCCACACCCCUGACCACCUUCCUCAGAAGUGUAAUAGGAAUCCAGAUUCCACCUGGCCUGCUUGCUGCGGGAGGCACAGUGGCCGGAUGGAGCUUGAGGCAGGUGCGGGAAGAUGCAGAUUGUGUAACUGGAGGUUGGGAGCCCAGGGUGCAGAAGAAGUCUGGAGUGCAGGAUUUGGUGGUAUGUGUGUGGCAGUAAGCAGAAGAAAGAGAAAGCCAAGCCACUGGAAACACCUUAAGAAUUCAGCUAGAAAAUUCCCAGAGAAGUAUGCAUGCAGGCGUUCACAAGAUCCAGAAAGCAGCUGCCGCAUACCUGCAAGCUGCAAGCAAGCCCUAAACUGCUGACCUUUAAACAGCCGGUUGGAUUCACAAAGACAGUUUCCCAAUAGUCUUAAGAGCAGAGGUUCACUAAAGCCACUGUGCCCUGCAGCCAGGAUCCCAGUAAAUUCUUUAAGGAACGUUUAUGGAAGAAUUUUGAAAUUGUCCUUGGUAACCCCCAAGAAUGUUUUGGUUAGGAGUAGAAUUUUAGAUGUCAUCGAUUUAAAAAUUAAAACUAGAACUCUGGAACCCAUAGGGAUAUAAAAUUAAAAGAACACAUUCACUAUCCUGAGUAGAAAGAUCUCUUAUAGAACAUAACAAGCUUUAAAAAUAAAGAAAAUAUAAGGCAAAACUUCAUCAAAAUUAGAUGCUUGAGAACUAAAAAUAAACCCUGAAGCCACCCCACCAACUAGACAGACCCCUUAGCCAAGGAGACCCCAGAGAAGUGUUAAGUACUGACUUCCUGGCCAGUAUUUGGAAGGUCAGACACCUGUCCUUAGACUCUCUCCCUUUAUUGAUUUAGACACAGCCGACCAGUACUAAUGUUAAAAUAGCGACCAUGAGACUGUCAGAGCAGACGCUUUACAGCAGGAAGAUACCACUUUAUACACAAGAUGUAAGGCCGUGCCAGGCAAGGUUAAGCCGUGCACCACUCAACUUAAAGAAUAAAGUGUGUUCUAAUUGCCACAGGUAUUUUUCUUCUUCCUUUCUUCUCUAGCAGCUACACCUGCACUGGCCUUGAGAUAAGCAAUGCUGAAGCCCUCGCAGCUCACCCAUUACCACACACUGACUGAGCCCCCCACCCACAAGCCGUAACUGCUGAUUUGAUUGGACAAGAGACUGAUUUCAGCCACUUUCUCUUGAUAAGAGACCUCUGGCUGUGGACGGGUUCUGGCCAGUUCACAGAGGCUGUGCACCUGAUUGCCUUUGUGUCCCUCCUUCACCUUUUGAAGCAGGAGGCCUAAUUACAAGGUAUUUAAAUGUUGCCUCCACCCCAAAGUCAACGUGGGUUGCAUGUAGCAGGCCUGUUUCUUCAGCAUGCAUGCAGCAGGAUCCCUUCAUGAAUAUUCAGAGCUCUCCUAUUCCCUGUUGAAUAUGUAUACGUGGCCAGCCAGAUCAACAUAGAUACCUGCUCCACUGUCCUCUCCCUGGAAACCUGCUUUUCCGGUUUCAGCAGGAGGGCGUGCCUCCCAGUCUGUCCGAAUGGCCACCUUGCACGCUUGAACCCUAUAUAAAAAAUAAAAUCUGCUUUCUAAGUUUA
RNA transcript from Sapajus apella (tufted capuchin), 2310 nucleotides. It is a transcript of the gene named putative protein FAM231AP, with no coding region annotated. NCBI's taxonomy places the organism in Eukaryota, Metazoa, Chordata, Mammalia, Primates, Cebidae. The transcript is spliced from 2 exons. The record is from RefSeq and is a predicted model, not a curated record.